UGGGGAAUUUUGGACAAUGGGCGCAAGCCUGAUCAAGCCAUGCCGCGUGCGGGAAGAAGGCCUUCGGGUUGUAAACCGCUUUUGUCAGGGAAGAAAUCUUCUGAGUUAAUACCUCGGGAGGAUGACGGUACCUGAAGAAUAAGCACCGGCUAACUACGUGCCAGUAGCCGCGGUAAUACGUAGGGUGCAAGCGUUAAUCGGAAUUACUGGGCAUAAAGCGUGCGCAGGCGGUUUUGUAAGACAGAGGUGAAAUCCCCGGGCUCAACCUGGGAACUGCCUUUGUGACUGCAAGGCUUGAGUGCGGCAGAGGGGGAUGGAAUUCCGCGUGUAGCAGUGAAAUGCGUAGAUAUGCGGAGGAACACCGAUGGCGAAGGCAAUCCCCUGGGCCUGCANUGACGCUCAUGCACGAAAGCGUGGGGAGCAAACAGGAUUAGAUACCCUGGUAGUCCACGCCCUAAACGAUGUCAACUGGUUGUUGGGAAGGUUCCUUCUCAGUAACGUAGCUAACGCGUGAAGUUGACCGCCUGGGGAGUACGGCCGCAAGGUUGAAACUCAAAUGAAUUGACGGGGUCAUAGCUGUUUCCUG
This 586-nucleotide ribosomal RNA is filed under the name uncultured bacterium. RNAcentral's name for it is "partial 16S ribosomal RNA". It matches the Rfam family "Bacterial small subunit ribosomal RNA", at positions 355 to 1376 of the family's 1533-position model. The record is from RNAcentral.